GCAAUCCAUGAGUACAGCGGCGUACGGGUGAGUAACACGUGGGUAAUCUACCUCUGAGUGGGGAAUAACCCUGGGAAACCGGGGCUAAUACCGCAUAAGCCUGAGAAGGGAAAGGGAGCGAUUCGCUCGGAGAGGAGCCCGCGGCCGAUUAGCUAGUUGGUGGGGUAAAGGCCUACCAAGGCGACGAUCGGUAGCCGGCCUGAGAGGGCACACGGCCACACUGGCACUGGGACACGGGCCAG
This 242-nucleotide ribosomal RNA is filed under the name uncultured bacterium. RNAcentral's name for it is "partial 16S ribosomal RNA". It matches the Rfam family "Bacterial small subunit ribosomal RNA", at positions 79 to 334 of the family's 1533-position model. The record is from RNAcentral.